RNAcentral lists this non-coding RNA (438 nucleotides) under Pan troglodytes (chimpanzee). RNAcentral also lists the same sequence under 2 other names. The record is from RNAcentral. Lineage: Eukaryota; Metazoa; Chordata; Mammalia; Primates; Hominidae.
GUCCUGGGAACUCCAACAAGGGAGCAAAUCAGAGAAAUGAACCCAAACUACACAGAAUUUAAAUUCCCUCAAAUUAAGGCACAUCCUUGGACUAAGGUCUUCCGACCCCGAACUCCACCGGAGGCAAUUGCACUGUGUAGCCGUCUGCUGGAGUAUACACCAACUGCCCGACUAACACCACUGGAAGCUUGUGCACAUUCAUUUUUUGAUGAAUUACGGGACCCAAAUGUCAAACUACCAAAUGGGCGAGACACACCUGCACUCUUCAACUUCACCACUCAAGAUGCUAAUACUGGAGACCGUGGACAGACCAAUAAUGCUGCUUCUGCAUCAGCUUCCAACUCCACCUGAACAGUCCCGAGCAGCCAGCUGCACAGGAAAAACCACCAGUUACUUGAGUGUCACUCAGCAACACUGGUCACGUUUGGAAAGAAUAUU